This 466-nucleotide ribosomal RNA is filed under the name Protomystides exigua. RNAcentral describes it as "partial 16S ribosomal RNA". It matches the Rfam family "Bacterial large subunit ribosomal RNA", at positions 1862 to 2597 of the family's 2925-position model. The record is from RNAcentral. Lineage: Eukaryota; Metazoa; Annelida; Polychaeta; Phyllodocida; Phyllodocidae.
CCCGGUGAUAAAUUUAACGGCCGCGGUACUUUGACCGUGCAAAGGUAGCAUAAUCAUUUGCCUCUUAAUUAGAGGCUGGAAUGAACGAAUAUACGAAAUUAAUGCUGUCUCUGCUGUAUAAAUAUAAAUUGUCCUUUAAGUGAAGAGACUUAAAUUUUAAUGAAAGACAAAAAGACCCUAUCGAGCUUAAUUUUAAUUAGGGAAUUUUAAAUUAAUUUAUUGUAUGACUUUGAUAAAUUUGGUUGGGGCGACAGAGGAAUAUAUAAAUCUUCCUUUAAUAAUUUGAAAAAUUUUUCUUGUAAAGGAUCAAUUUAGGUGAUAUAGAGAAAAAGUUACCGUAGGGAUAACAGGCUAAUCUCUCCGGAGAGUUCAAAUUGAUGGGGGGGAUGGCACCUCGAUGUGGCCUUAGGGUAUCCUGUAGAUGUAGCAGUCUAUAAGGGUUGGUUUGUUCACCCAUUAAAAUCCU